UCCUUAGAUGUCCUGGGCCGCACGCGCGCUACAAUGACUUAUUCAGAAAGUUUACCUGGUUCGAAAGAAUUCAGGGUAAUCUUUGUAAUACAAGUCGUGUUAGGGAUCGAUCUUUGCAAUUAUAGAUCUUGAACGAGGAAUUCCUAGUAGACGUAGUUCAUCAGACUGCAUCGAUUACGUCCCUGCCCUUUGUACACACCGCCCGUCGCUCCUACCGAUUGAAUGCUCAGGUGAGCCAUUCGGACUUUCAUCAUGCUGGUUUCCAGUUUUGAUGAAGGAAGGUCUUGCGAACCUUAUCAUUUAGAGGAAGGAGAAGUCGUAACA
Molecule: ribosomal RNA, 324 nt
Filed under: uncultured eukaryote
Lineage: Eukaryota
Description: partial 18S ribosomal RNA
Rfam family: Eukaryotic small subunit ribosomal RNA
Source: RNAcentral